UCUCUUCUCAACACCGAAUAAUAUAACCAGAACCAAAAGAGAGAAUCUGAAGUGAGAAAGAAAAAAAGAAAGAGAGAGAGAGAGACCACAAACAAGAAGAAGAGGAAGAGGAGGGAGCUUCUCUGCAAACUCACCCUCUUCUUAUCCAAUUCGUAAGGUUUUCUCUUUCUGGGUUUCUCUCUCUUGUUUGUUUUUGUUUACUUUUGUUUUUGGAAAUUUGUUUUGUUCGGGUUUGGUUUUGCUCUUUCUGGGCUGCUAUAGUAGUUUUCCAAUUUCGGUUAGUGAAAAUGGUGUAGAAGGUUUUUUAUGAGACGGGCAUUCUAAGAUGGGAUCUCUUUCUUUGUUUCGCUUUGUUUGAGUUGUCGAAGCAGAGAAUUUUAACAUGUUGGAGGGUCCAUCAUAUCUUGUUUCAAGAGAAUUGCCCAGCUCGUGCGAGCAGGAAAGCAAGUGGAUUUACAAUACUUUCCGGUUGAUUGAACUCUCAAGUAAUAAGCGCAAACUAGAAGAUGGAGAAGAUAACACAUUGAGGAAGUUAAGUAAGGUAUCAGUAGCUCUUAAAGAAGAGGAAGCAUGUAAAGAUGGUAGUGAUUUUGACCAUGCCCUAAAGGACCAAUUUGAUGGCCAGUAUCAAGCUGGGGAUCCUUCGGAUGUUCAUAAUUUUUUGGAUGCCCAAACUGACCUAUCAAAUGGACAGAAUCAAGCUGGGGAAUACUCUGAUAUUAAAGCUUUUCCUAAUCCCCCAACUGACCAAUCAAGUGACAAGCAUCUAGUAGGGGAUCAUUCUGGUAUUAUUGGCGUGUCUGACGGACAAAAUGACCAACCAGGUGACCAGCAUCAGGCACAAGAUCACUCUGACGUUCAUGAUAUUUCCCACGCUCUGAUUGACCAAUCAAAUGACCAGCUAGCUAGGGAUGACGCCGAUAUUUUUGAUUUUACAGAUGCCCAAAUUGACCAAUCAAAUGAUCAUCACCAGGGAGGAGAACACUCUGAUCUUAGCUCACUUAUUCAUCAACUUGGUAGGGACAUUUCAAUCAACUGUCUUCUACGAUGUCCCAGGUCUGAGUAUGGCUCAAUUGCUUCUUUGAAUAGGAGUUUCCGUUCUAUCAUUCGUGGUGGAGAGCUCUACAAGCUGAGGAAGCAAAUGGGUAUAGUGGAACAUUGGGUUUACUUCUCCUGUGCCCUCCUUGAAUGGGAAGCUUACGAUCCAAAUCACAACCGCUGGAUGCAUUUGCCUAGGAUGACUUCAAAUGAAUGCUUCAUGUGUUCAGAUAAGGAAUCGUUGGCUGUUGGUACAGAACUACUUGUUUUUGGGAAGGAAAUAACUUCCCAUGUUAUUUAUAGAUAUAGUAUUUUGACAAAUACAUGGUCAUCAGGCAUGAAAAUGAAUACGCCUAGGUGCUUAUUUGGUUCUGCUAGUCUAGGGGAAAUUGCCAUUUUGGCUGGUGGUUGUGAUCCACGUGGCAAUAUAUUGAGCUCUGCGGAGCUUUAUAAUUCAGAAACAGGAACUUGGAGGACUCUUCCAUGCAUGAAUAAACCAAGAAAAAUGUGCUCUGGGGUGUUUAUGGACAGGAAGUUUUAUGUUAUUGGUGGAAUAGGAACUGGGAAUCCAAGGUCUCUUACAUGUGGGGAAGUAUUUGAUCUUGAAACUGAGACUUGGACUGAAAUACCUGACAUGUUCCCUUCACGGAAUGGAGAGGAUGGGAUUAUUGGGGCCCCUGCUGCAGCAGAGGCACCUCCUCUUGUCGCAGUUGUAAAGAAUACAUUGUAUGCUGCUGAUUACGCUGAAAAGGAGGUAAGAAGAUAUGACAAGAAGAGGAACGAGUGGAUAACUAUUGGGAGAUUGCCUGAGCGAGCAGUCUCAAUGCAUGGAUGGGGUUUGGCAUUUAGAGCUUGUGGAGAUCGAUUGAUCGUUAUUGGGGGACCAAGGGUCCAAGCCGGAGGGAUAAUUGAGCUUAAUGCUUGGGUUCCCAAUGAAGACCCACCUCAAUGGAACCUGCUUGCCAGUAAGCAAUCUGGAAGCUUUGUGUAUAACUGCACAGUGAUGGGAUGUUGAGGUGUCCAAUUUUGUGAUGUUAUCCGUGUGCUAUGUGGAGUCCUGUCUGAGUGGAAUUGACAAUCUUCGCUUUUCAAGGAGAUGGGGUUCCAGCUCAUGGAUAUUUUACUGUAUUCAAAAUUAUGGCCGCCAAUUUUGUGAAACUGGACACUACCAUAGUCCUAGUCUCAGUAACUGUAUUUCCAGAAGUGGAGAGUUGGAAGUUAUGCCUUGGUCCGUAUACUGUACAGAAAACAAGGCCCUCGCAUGAUUCAUAAAGCCUCCUAUUAUUUUUAGCUGACUAGUUAAUUUGUUUUGAUUUGUGUACUGUUUUAAGAAGUUCGCAACUAGCUUUAUUAUUGUUGGAGAUGUUUAUGUUUGUUAACGAUAUCUCUUUUCGAUAAUAGUAUUUCAGUACUGUUACCCUGCUAAGCAUGUUUGUCUGUAACUGCAUGGGUAUUUAAUUUCAAACCAUUCUUCCUUUGCUUUGGCUUAGACUGAUGAAAUUUUAAGAAAACAUUUUCUUUUUCUUA
RNA transcript from Cannabis sativa, 2565 nucleotides. It is a transcript of the gene named F-box/kelch-repeat protein At1g74510, with no coding region annotated. The transcript is spliced from 3 exons. Lineage: Eukaryota; Viridiplantae; Streptophyta; Magnoliopsida; Rosales; Cannabaceae. The record is from RefSeq and is a predicted model, not a curated record.